AAGCAGAGUAAACCAUUAAAAGUUGUUAAAAGUCAGAUAGAGUACUUUUUUUAUAAGAAGCUGGAUUAUUGAAAAAGAAAUUAUUCUGCUUACAUAGCCAUCCUUGAUCCAAACAGACCUAAAAAUAAGAGAAAGAAACAAACAGUUGCUUCACAAGGUACUUAUAUGAUAACUUCUCGUAAUUUAUCUAUUUGUGAUAAUACUAUCUGGAUAUUGGAUAUCGAAAGUUCUAUUAAUAUA
Molecule: long non-coding RNA, 240 nt
Filed under: Elaeis guineensis (African oil palm)
Lineage: Eukaryota; Viridiplantae; Streptophyta; Magnoliopsida; Arecales; Arecaceae
Description: long non-coding RNA (EGUI_LNC037167)
Source: RNAcentral